RNAcentral lists this long non-coding RNA (233 nucleotides) under Carica papaya (papaya). RNAcentral's name for it is "long non-coding RNA (CPAP_LNC011356)". Lineage: Eukaryota; Viridiplantae; Streptophyta; Magnoliopsida; Brassicales; Caricaceae. The record is from RNAcentral.
UAAGCCUAGAGUCCAACACUUCAAAAACUACCUAUGAACCCAACAAUGAAUCCCUUUUAAGUCCCAUCCCAUAUCCACAAUCCCCCUUUAGGGCCAAACAACUUCGUUUUACUAAACUAACUAAAACAAUAGUAUUUCACGCAAUAUAACAUUAGUGAUGUUUUAGCAAAUAAUUUCUCAUAAAUUAUGGAAAAUAAAAAAAUUCCCAUGGAGAAAUUGCAACAAAAACCUUU